Small nuclear RNA from Sorex fumeus (smoky shrew), 102 nucleotides. NCBI's taxonomy places the organism in Eukaryota, Metazoa, Chordata, Mammalia, Eulipotyphla, Soricidae. The record is from RefSeq and is a predicted model, not a curated record.
UUGCUUCAGCAGUACAUAUACUAAAAUUGGAACAAUACAGAGAAGAUUAAUAUGGGCCCUGAUUAAAGAUGACAUGCAAAUUUUGAAGCGUUCUAUAUUUUU